AUGCCAAUGGAUAAGGCACCCGAAGCGGCAAUAACCUCACAUGCCCAUUUAUAUAAAUAUAAAGAAAAACAUCAAGUAUCACAACAUGAAAGAAGGCAACAAAUUCUUAGUGAACAAAAAUAUAAAAGGCACAUUGAAGCAGAUAAAAACAGAGAAUUAUAUGGUAAAUAUCUCGAAGAAUUAGAGGAAUCCGAUGUUGAAGAUUUCAAACAAGUGGAUGAAUGUGAUAUUGAAGAUUUUAAACAUACGGACGAGUCUGUACAACAUUUGGAGAAACCUGAACAAGAAGAACCAGAUGAAUAUGAAGAAAUGGAAUAUGUGCAGUCUGAAGUACAAUAUCGUCGACCUGAAUCUACUGAAUUCAAAUUGAUGUUGACAGAAUGGUUUAUAGAUAUUCCAGAUGAUUUGGAAGAGAACUGGCUUUGUAAAUUUGCUCCAGAAGGUUUUCGCGUAUUGCUACUAGCAUACAAGCGCCGAACACUUUUUUUCACUAUCAAAAGUAGAUAUUUAUUUAAAUUAAAGACUCAUUUUCCUGGAGGCGGUGGAAUUAAUGCAACAGGAGUUACAGUUUUAGAUUGCAUAUUUAAUAAGCGUAAUAAAACGUUCUUUGUACUAGACUGUUUAUAUUGGUCGGCUAUGUAUACUUUGGACAGUGAAGCUAAUUUUAGAUUUUAUUGGUUGAAAACGAAAUUUUAUGAAAUGCCUGAACUAUAUAAAUCUGUCAGUAAAAAAUACACUUUCCAUUUGAUCGAAGCUAUUCCUCUGGAAAGAUCUUUACUACAGGAAAAAAUUUUCCAAGUACUCAAAUUAGAGGAAAAAGAAAUAUUAUACGAUGGAAUAGUGUGUUAUCACUCAUGCGGAUUCUAUACUUUCAGUUAUAGUCCUCUAGCAACCUGGCUUUACUGCUAUAUGUUGCCAGAGAAAUUGGGAAUAGAUGUCCCAGAGGUUUAUCUUGCGAAAAAGCCAAAAGGAUAUAUAAAUUUUCAACAGUACAUUGAAAGCAAGAUGUCAGGUAGGGAGAGGUAUAAUAAGAAAAAAAGUCAUGAACGAUUAAAUAAAAAUGGUGAUUUAGAUGUGAGCUCUGUUAAUAAUACAGAAAAGAGCAAAAAUAAUAGUUCAGAAGUGAAAACAUAUAAUACAGAAAUGGAUAGUUAUGCAUUUAAUAAAAGUGAUAAUGACAUAAUGGAAUCAUGAUUUUCAUAGUCAACAUGUGGCCAACAUUUUAAAAUAAUCGAUUUUAUUACCAGAUGACAAAAAGUGAUUUUGAUUAUAUUAUUUGAGUGUUUAUUAAACUGAAUAACAUUUUUUUUAAAUAAUAAUAGUUGUUUCAUUUUGUAAAUAAAUAAAAUAUAUGAACAAAAAGUAUAAGGGAUUCUGUAAUGAAGUAAGCUGUUGGUAGAUUAUUCAAUUAAAUUGUUUACAAAUAACUAAGACUAAGAAAGACAAAAUUAUAACGCUCCCCCCGUAUAUUAGGUUUCCCAAUGAGCCUUACGUAAUUUGUACACGUUCCCUGAAGUUGAUGAUUUGUGUAAUAGGUUUUAUUUUUUUCUAUGUAUAGGAAAGUUUGAAACAGUCGUUUGUAUUAAUGCUCGAGUCAACACCACUUAAGCCUCUUAUUACAUAAUUACAUCUUAAUUAUAAUACAUCAUUAUUCAAUCCUUAAACGCAAAGCAUGUUGUGUUGCAGUUUUAUUUUAUGUAAAAAGCAAGCAAAAUUAUUAUUAUCACCUCUAAAUUAAAAUAUUAAAAAAUAAUUAUACGAAAAAAUUUCUUUUGUUUGUUUAUUAAGUACAAAACUUUUUAGACAACAUUGCUAUUAAAUUAUUUUUAUAUUCAUACCAUAACAUGAUAAUAUUAACAAUAUAUACAGCAAAAAAACGGGCACUUCAUAUUUUUCUUAUUAGAAGCUAAUUUUCAGCAAUGUAUUUGUUUUUGUGGGCAUUCUAGUUAUUACCUAGAAUGUACGGUUUAAAUCUAUAACCUAACCUAACCUAACUAAUCCCUUCAGGAUUAGUAAACAAUUAGAUAAAACUGAGAUUUGAUCUAUUUGCCUUAAAGUUGAUUUACCUGUCGGACCUAUUUUAAACUUCGAAAUAUUUGACGAUUCUACGUACGUAAUACACACCGUCGUAAGAAAGAUUGUACACGAGACCUUUGGGGAUGUGAGAAGAAAAUCCGUGUCCUGGUAGGUCGAUACAGAAGAAAGAAUGGCCUCGUUCUAUUAUGUACGGAGCUACGGUGUCGAAAGUGCCGCUAUUAUCUUGCCAACCGUGGAUGCCGAUGAUUGGUUGUACGUUUGUGGAACCCCACCAUUUUCCUUUAAUAAAUAAUUUGUUUAUCACCAAAAUGAAUAAUUUUUUUAAAUUUUAUUUACCGCAAAUGUAACCCCACGGAACCGGUACUUUGAUUUCCUUGAAAUCGUUCAAAUUUGCUGUAAUGAAAAUUUAAAAAAAAUGAUAGAAUUAAUUAAUGAAUUAUAAUAGUUGAAGUUCAAGUUCAAUUUCAUUCCAUUGAUACUUGUAUAAGUUGCAAGGUUAACACAAUUGGAAUUUAUAAUUUUUUAUUGUCCAAAAAUUUGGUAAGUACUAAAAUUAUUCAAAUAGAUUUUUCAAUUUUCAAUUCAUAUUUUUUAGUAUUUAUCAAAUUUGUAUAUCAAUAUUCAUACUUGAGAGAUGUGAAAUUGUUUCAAAACACAUUUACUUGAAUUACUAUAUUUUAUGACAAUAAAAAUUAAGAUCGCAAAAACUGUUUUAAGAAAAUGUCGUCCUGAAUAUUGAUUUCUUAUUAAUUCUGCGAUACGCUUGGCAACAUAGCGUUGAAUUCGUUUUACGAUGGAUGACGUAACUUUUGUCUGGGUUACUGUUCUUCACUAGUUAUAAUCUUAUAGUCCAGUCACAAAUUAUAGAAAUUAGAUAUAACAUGGUAAUUUUUCUGAACAUUUGUUUUAUAUUUGAAAAAUACCGGAAGAAAUAAACAUUUCAUGAACUAUAUAAUGCUUGAAUCAUAAAUGGUGAGAUUAAUUUAAAAAAAAAUGAUUAAUUUCUACAGGAAAAGUACAUGUUUUAUUAUUCUUUUGGUUUUUGCAGAAAUUUUACAGUUUUCCAAUUAAUACUAAAGUUUUCUUUCUAAACAAAAAAACUGGGAAAAUUCUAUGUAUUAAUUCACUUAUUUGUUAAUGCGUAUUUUCAUUAUGAAUCUAUUUAUUCAAGUUUUCAUUUUUCCUAUACUUUGUUUUCAUUAUAUAAAAUUGUGUGAAUUUUAUAUGCAAAAGGCUUUAAAGCAUUAACCCUCAGGUUACAAGUACAAUAUAAUUUUUGAACUUUGACGUAUUUACUACUUUCAUUCUAAAAACAGUUAGCUACUGGACUAUAACCGCGUAUUUAUUCAAUAAUGAUGAAAGGCAUUAAUAUUUACUUCUUAAAUGAUAUAUACUUGAUUGGUACGUUUCUUUUUAUAAUCCCCAUUAAAACUAUAUUAAUCUAUGGAGAAAUUGUCGUGUAUGUUGUUAUUUUAUCUAAUAAUUAAGUUUUGUCAACUAUUUCUACAUGAUAAAGUUGCCGCUGUACUAUAUCUCAUACGAUGAUGUCAUCUUUAAGUUUAUUAUAUAAGUAUUGACGUUGUAAUGCUAAAUUUUAUAUAUUCAAAAUGUUAUUAGUAAAUAAUACUAUGUUUUUUAUUAAAAAUAUAUGAAAUAAUGAUAAAA
Molecule: RNA transcript, 3702 nt
Organism: Diorhabda carinulata
Lineage: Eukaryota; Metazoa; Arthropoda; Insecta; Coleoptera; Chrysomelidae
Gene name: probable serine hydrolase
Exons: 2
Source: RefSeq, a predicted model, not a curated record